This 622-nucleotide long non-coding RNA is filed under the name Vitis vinifera (wine grape). RNAcentral describes it as "long non-coding RNA (VVIN_LNC000042)". The record is from RNAcentral. Lineage: Eukaryota; Viridiplantae; Streptophyta; Magnoliopsida; Vitales; Vitaceae.
GCGACGCGGUUACUAACUUCAAACCAUUGUCGGAGACGGAGGAGGACGAUAUCGAAGCCGCGUUCUUGAAUUCUCAUUCCAAGGCGGAGAUCGUGGACAUGCUGAGGAAACACACGUACAAUGAUGAGCUGGAGCAAAGCAAGCGAAACUACGGGUUGGACGCGAAUGGGAAGAGGAGCCGAGCCGAAGGCCUCAUGACUCCAUUCGGGUCAGACCGGGUCACCAAAUCCCGGGAGCAGCUCUUCGAGAAGACGGUGACGCCCAGCGACGUGGGUAAGCUAAACCGGCUGGUGAUACCCAAACAACACGCGGAAAAGCACUUCCCCUUGCAGACUGGAACCACAUCCAAAGGGGUGCUUCUGAAUUUCGAAGACAUGGGCGGGAAAGUAUGGAGGUUUCGAUACUCGUACUGGAACAGCAGCCAGAGCUACGUUCUGACCAAAGGGUGGAGCCGGUUCGUGAAGGAGAAGAACCUUAAGGCGGGAGACAUUGUGAGUUUCCAGAGAUCGACGGGAGGGGACAAGCAGCUGUACAUAGACUGGAAGGCCAGAAACGGCCCGACGAAUCAGAUCAAUCCGGUAGAGCCGGUGGAGAUGGUGAGGUUAUUCGGAGUCAACAUUUU